GUACGGGCUAGGGGGAGCGUUGACGUGUUCUACAAUUCACAAAUCGUUGAUAAUGGUGACCUGAAGUUCGAGGGCGGCGUAGACGAACCACUGAUGACUCAUCAGUUAACGACGAUGCUUCGCCCCCAAGAGAUCCAUGUUAGUGGAAAUUUCUUCCGAAGGGAAGUCAUUACCACUUUACACUUGGGAAACAGGUCAGGCGCGGAAGCGAGCAGCCCUACUGAGAAUAAUGGAUGCCUUGGGAUAGCGGAGCGGAGGAGAUUGAUGGCAAAUCAUCUAUGGUAACGUACGUCCACCGAGAACAUGCCCACCC
This 313-nucleotide signal recognition particle RNA is filed under the name Methanobacteriota archaeon. RNAcentral's name for it is "Euryarchaeota archaeon (marine metagenome) signal recognition particle sRNA". It matches the Rfam family "Archaeal signal recognition particle RNA". The record is from RNAcentral. Lineage: Archaea; Methanobacteriati; Methanobacteriota.